AACGCACGAGACCUGCGGACCUGCGGAGGGAUCAUUAUUGAAUAAAUCUGGCGCUGGGUUGUAGCUGGCUCUCCGGAGCAUGUGCACACCUUCGUCACCUUUAUCUUUCCACCUGUGCACCCACUGUAGUCCUGGAUCCCUCUCGCCGAAAGGCGGAUGCAGAGCCUGCUGUGACUUUGGAAACAAAGGCCGGCUUGCUCUGAAUUUCCAGGUCUACGAUCUUUACACACCCCUAAACGA
This 240-nucleotide unclassified non-coding RNA is filed under the name soil metagenome. Its description in RNAcentral is "partial contains 5.8S ribosomal RNA, internal transcribed spacer 2, and large subunit ribosomal RNA". The record is from RNAcentral.